RNAcentral lists this long non-coding RNA (831 nucleotides) under Capra hircus (goat). Its description in RNAcentral is "lncRNA (ENSCHIG00010010659.1)". The record is from RNAcentral. Lineage: Eukaryota; Metazoa; Chordata; Mammalia; Artiodactyla; Bovidae.
AGUUGGGGUGCUGGUGAUGGCUAGACCUUAGGCGCUGAGGGCGGGCCCAGGUGGUGGGGCGGGACAACGGAAUGAGGGCGGGGCUUAACGGAGCUUGGGGCAGUUGUGGGCGGCCUGGGUUGGGGCUAGGGACAGCAGGGGCCAGACGCAGGUCGGAUUGGGCGGGACUGGCCUCCUCCGAGAGAUCUCGGCAAGCACAUCCAAUUCAAGGGAGGCUUUUUUAUGCUAAGAGCUGAGCCAGGAGCAGCAGCAGCUGCUGGCCAUGUCCAUGGAGAAAGUCUUCCUUCUUCAACAGGCAGAGUUGGUGAGGAUCUGAGGAUUGCACAGUGGAUGUCAGGGAUGACAACAAAGGUGGUGACCAUCCUGGAACAAAUUCUUCUGGUGGGAGGCCGUGCUCUUCUGUCUUCACUUCAAGCUGCCCAGGGGCUUUUAGGGUGUGGCCAACAACACCUGGCUUUUCCCAGUUGGAACAGGGGAAAGCAGAGUAGCGCUUGGCACAGACUGAGGAAGCUGGAGAAAUGGAGAGGAGCUUCGCCUCCAAGUUUUCCUGGAAGCAGAGUUUCAAAGGCUCCACCUUGGACUCAGUCUCUUUAACCAGGCUCUGGAGACUCUGUCCCAUCUGGAGAGCCUAGGAAUCACAACUGAGGAGGAAAGCUUCUCUUUCAUCAGCCAGGGAAUGGAUGGAGUUCCAGCCCUUGAUGGAGCUGCAUCUUUAGCCUGACAGUUAGGGAACCUGGCAGCAGAGGGCUGGGGGCAGCGAGGGCUGGUACCUUAAAGUUGGACACUGAGUUUGAUGCGUUUCUUCAGUUCUUCAGCGUAACUCUGAUUUGA